This 491-nucleotide ribosomal RNA is filed under the name uncultured Desulfobulbus sp. Its description in RNAcentral is "bacterial SSU rRNA". It matches the Rfam family "Bacterial small subunit ribosomal RNA", at positions 895 to 1382 of the family's 1533-position model. The record is from RNAcentral. Lineage: Bacteria; Pseudomonadati; Thermodesulfobacteriota; Desulfobulbia; Desulfobulbales; Desulfobulbaceae.
AGAAACUCAAAUGAAUUGACGGGGCCCGCACAAGCGGUGGAGUAUGUGGUUUAAUUCGAUGCAACGCGAAGAACCUUACCUGGUCUUGACAUCCCGGAGACCCUUAGGAAACUAGGGGUGCUUCCAUCUGGAAGAAUCUGGAGACAGGUGCUGCAUGGCUGUCGUCAGCUCGUGUCGUGAGAUGUUGGGUUAAGUCCCGCAACGAGCGCAACCCUUGCCUUUAGUUGCCAGCAGUUCGGCUGGGCACUCUAAAGGGACUGCCGGUGUUAAACCGGAGGAAGGUGGGGAUGACGUCAAGUCCUCAUGGCCUUUAUGACCAGGGCUACACACGUACUACAAUGGCCGAUACAAAGGGCAGCGACACUGCGAGGUGAAGCCAAUCCCGUAAAAUCGGUCUCAGUCCGGAUUGGAGUCUGCAACUCGACUCCAUGAAGUUGGAAUCGCUAGUAAUCGUGGAUCAGCAUGCCACGGUGAAUACGUUCCCGGGCCUU